GGGGAUUUAGCUCAAUGGUAGAGCGCUUGCCUAGCAAGCGGAAGGCCCUGGGUUCGGUCCCCAGCUCUCCA
Molecule: non-coding RNA, 71 nt
Organism: Rattus norvegicus (Norway rat)
Lineage: Eukaryota; Metazoa; Chordata; Mammalia; Rodentia; Muridae
Source: Rfam